Pelobates cultripes (western spadefoot toad) is the source of this 201-nucleotide non-coding RNA. NCBI's taxonomy places the organism in Eukaryota, Metazoa, Chordata, Amphibia, Anura, Pelobatidae. The record is from the annotation of a GenBank genome assembly.
GGUGCAUUCUGGCAACUAGGUACCCAAUCAUGGACCUACGACCACGUCAAGAAGUACCAAAAUCCACCAAGUUCAGAUAUUCAAUCAUGUCAAGUGCAGCAAAAAGGUAGUAUGAAAACUUGCCAAUGUUGAGAAACAAAGUCCUAAAGCUUUGACACUGGAUACCAGAACUUGGGUCUUGCAGUAACCAUCCAAAUUGCC